Molecule: ribosomal RNA, 429 nt
Filed under: uncultured bacterium
Lineage: Bacteria
Description: bacterial SSU rRNA
Rfam family: Bacterial small subunit ribosomal RNA
Source: RNAcentral
UAGGGAAUAUUGCGCAAUGGACGAAAGUCUGACGCAGCAACGCCGCGUGGGUGAAGAAGCUCUUUGGAGUGUAAAACCCUGUCAGUGGGGACGAACCGGUUGAAGAGUAACUGCUUCAGCCCUGACGGUACCCGCAGAGGAAGUUCCGGCCAACUCCGUGCCAGCAGCCGCGGUAAUACGGGGGGAACGAGCGUUGUUCGGAUUUACUGGGCGUAAAGGGCGUGCAGGCGGAUUUUCAAGUCGGAUGUGAAAACCCCAAGCUUAACUCGGGGCCUGCAUCCGAUACUGCAAAUCUUGAGUACGGGAGAGGAAAGCGGAAUUCCAGGUGUAGCGGUGACAUGCGUAGAUAUCUGGAAGAACACCGGUGGCGAAGGCGGCUUUCUGGACCGAUACUGACGCUGAGGCGCGAAAGCCAGGGGAGCAAACAGG